RNAcentral lists this ribosomal RNA (468 nucleotides) under uncultured bacterium. RNAcentral's name for it is "bacterial SSU rRNA". It matches the Rfam family "Bacterial small subunit ribosomal RNA", at positions 329 to 793 of the family's 1533-position model. The record is from RNAcentral.
UACCAGACUCCUACGGGAGGCAGCAGUGAGGAAUAUUGGUCAAUGGGCGGAAGCCUGAACCAGCCAAGUCGCGUGAGGGAAGAAGGCCCUGCGGGUCGCAGACCUCUUUGGACGGGGAGCAAGGCCGCCGACGUGUCGGCGGAAGGAGAGUACCCGUAGAACAAGCAUCGGCUAACUCCGUGCCAGCAGCCGCGGUAAUACGGAGGAUGCGAGCGUUAUCCGGAUUCACUGGGCGUAAAGGGAGCGCAGGCGGCACGGCAAGUCCGGUGUGAAAGCCCGGGGCCCAACCCCGGGACUGCACUGGAAACUGCCGGGCUGGAGUGUCGGAGGGGCAGGCGGAAUUCCUAGUGUAGCGGUGAAAUGCGUAGAUAUUAGGAGGAACACCGGUGGCGAAGGCGGCCUGCUGGACGACGACUGACGCUGAGGCUCGAAAGCGUGGGGAGCAAACAGGAUUAGAUACCCCAGUAC